GACGAACGCUGGCGGCGUGCUUAACACAUGCAAGUCGAACGGAAAGGCCCUGCUUUUGUGGGGUGCUCGAGUGGCGAACGGGUGAGUAACACGUGAGUAACCCGCCCUUGACUUUGGGAUAACUUCAGGAAACUGGGGCUCAUACCGGAUAGGAGCUCCUGCUGCAUGGUGGUGGUUGGAAAGUUUCGGCGGUUGGGGAUGGACUCGCGGCUUAUUAGCUUGUUGGUGAGGUAGUGGCUUACCAAGGCUUUGACGGGUAGCCGGCCUGAGAGGGUGACCGGCCACACGGGAACUGAGACACGGUCCAGACUCCUACGGGAGGCAGGAGUAGGGAAUCUGCCGCAAUGGGCGAAAGCCUGACGGAGCAACGACGGGUGAGUGAUGAAGGUCUUCGGAUAGUAAAACUCUGUUAUUAGGGAAGAACAAAUGUGUAAGUAACUAUGCACGUCUUGACGGUACCUAAUCAGAAAGCCACGGCUAACUACGUG
RNAcentral lists this ribosomal RNA (488 nucleotides) under uncultured bacterium. RNAcentral describes it as "partial 16S ribosomal RNA". It matches the Rfam family "Bacterial small subunit ribosomal RNA", at positions 28 to 507 of the family's 1533-position model. The record is from RNAcentral.